GCGCGGCGAGGACGGGGCGGCGGGGGCGCAGGGCCUGGAGGGCACCCGGGAGCCUCUCCGCGCCCGGCCGGCGCCCCUGCCACUUGCAGCCCCGGUUGUUUAUUCGGGAGCGGGGGAGGGGAGCGGGUGGAGUUCCUCGGAGUGAAAACCUUUCCGAACUGGGAGCGAACCUGGGGCGGCCCCCCGCCCCCCGGCCGCAGCCUUCGGAGGAGACUGGGCCGCCGAGGCGGUCGUGAGAGACGGACGGAGAGGAAGCCGCGGCUGGAAUGUCCUAACCGCCCGCUUCUCAUGUUGUCCUGGGGCAGGGGCCUCAGGAUGGAAACCAGCAGCCUGCACUGCCCGAGAAGGUCGGCUGGGUCCGGAAAUUCUGCGGGAAAGGAAUUUUCAGGGAGAUUUGGAAAAACCGCUAUGUGGUGCUGAAAGGGGACCAGCUCUACAUCUCUGAGAAGGAGGUAAAAGAUGAGAAAAAUAUUCAAGAGGUAUUUGACCUGAGUGACUAUGAGAAGUGUGAAGAGCUCCGGAAGUCCAAGAGCAGGAGCAAGAAAAAUCAUAGCAAGUUUACUCUUGCCCACUCCAAACAGCCCGGUAACACGGCACCCAACCUGAUCUUCCUGGCAGUGAGUCCAGAAGAGAAGGAAUCGUGGAUCAAUGCCCUCAACUCUGCCAUCACCCGAGCCAAGAACCGUAUCUUGGAUGAGGUCACCGUUGAGGAGGACAGCUAUCUUGCCCAUCCCACUCGAGACAGGGCAAAAAUCCAACAUUCCCGCCGCCCCCCAACAAGGGGACACCUAAUGGCUGUGGCUUCCACCUCUACCUCAGAUGGGAUGCUGACCUUGGACUUGAUCCAAGAGGAAGACCCUUCUCCUGAGGAACCAACCUCUUGUGCUGAGAGCUUUCGGGUUGACCUGGACAAGUCUGUGGCCCAGCUGGCAGGGAGCCGGCGGAGAGCAGACUCAGACCGCAUUCAGCCCUCCGCAGACCGGGCAAGCAGCCUCUCCCGACCUUGGGAAAAAACAGACAAAGGG
RNAcentral lists this small RNA (1025 nucleotides) under Pongo abelii (Sumatran orangutan). Its description in RNAcentral is "processed transcript". The record is from RNAcentral. Lineage: Eukaryota; Metazoa; Chordata; Mammalia; Primates; Hominidae.